UAUUAUUGCAAUCACAUGCCAUCUAUUUCUUUUCAGCCUCGGGAAGGAGGGCCAUAUUACCAGCUGAGGUGCGCAAUGCAUUGUGGGGCAGAAGCAGUACGUGAAGCAAGCUCCGUUGCACACUCAGAAAUCGAAGCUGAUUGAGUAUACAUCCGGGCAUUUCUCGCAUACACAAAAUUCACAUACUGUACAGUGUGAACGCACUGCCUACUCAAUUCAGAGGCGGGGUUAGUAGGAGUAGUAGGAGUAGUAGGCCAUUUCGGACACAGCCCAACUCUCU
RNAcentral lists this long non-coding RNA (280 nucleotides) under Xyrichtys novacula (pearly razorfish). Lineage: Eukaryota; Metazoa; Chordata; Actinopteri; Labriformes; Labridae. The record is from RNAcentral.